Molecule: ribosomal RNA, 893 nt
Filed under: uncultured bacterium
Lineage: Bacteria
Description: bacterial SSU rRNA
Rfam family: Bacterial small subunit ribosomal RNA
Source: RNAcentral
AGGACGAACGCUGGCGGCGUGCCUAACACAUGCAAGUCGAACGGAGAUUUCAGCAAUGGAAUCUUAGUGGCGAACGGGUGAGUAACGCGUAGACAACCUACCUUCUAGAUGGGGACAACACUGGGAAACUAGUGCUAAUACCGAAUGUUGUAUUAAGGGUGCAUAUCCUAAAUACUAAAGGUGGCCUCUAUUCAUAAGCUAUCACUAGAAGAUGGGUCUGCGUCUGAUUAGCUAGUUGGUGAGGUAAUGGCUCACCAAGGCGACGAUCAGUAGCCGGUCUGAGAGGAUGAACGGCCACACUGGGACUGAGACACGGCCCAGACUCCUACGGGAGGCAGCAGUGGGGAAUCUUCCACAAUGGACGAAAGUCUGACGGAGCAACGCCGCGUGAGUGAAGAAGGUUUUCGGAUCGUAAAACUCUGUUUUCAGGGACGAAUGUGCCGAUUGUAAAUAAUGGUUGGUAAUGACGGUACCUGACAAGAAAGCCACGGCUAACUACGUGCCAGCAGCCGCGGUAAUACGUAGGUGGCAAGCGUUGUCCGGAAUUAUUGGGCGUAAAGCGCGCGCAGGUGGGAUAAUCAGUCUGAUGUUAAAGUUCGGGGCUUAACCCCGUGAAGCAUUGGAUACUGUUAUUCUUGAGUGCAGGAGAGGAAAGUGGAAUUCCUAGUGUAGCGGUGAAAUGCGUAGAUAUUAGGAGGAACACCAGUGGCGAAGGCGACUUUCUGGACUGUGUCUGACACUGAGGCGCGAAAGCCAGGGUAGUGAACGGGAUUAGAUACCCCGGUAAUCCUGGCCGUAAACGAUGGGUACUAGGUGUUGGGGGUAUCGACCCCUCCAGUGCCGGAGUUAACGCAAUAAGUACCCCGCCUGGGGAGUACGGCCGCAAGGUUGAA